This 253-nucleotide ribosomal RNA is filed under the name uncultured bacterium. RNAcentral describes it as "partial 16S ribosomal RNA". It matches the Rfam family "Bacterial small subunit ribosomal RNA", at positions 524 to 776 of the family's 1533-position model. The record is from RNAcentral.
UACAGAGGUCCCGAGCGUUGUUCGGAUUCAUUGGGCGUAAAGGGUGCGUAGGCGGCGGGGUAAGUCUGAUGUGAAAUCCCGGGGCUCAACCCCGGAACUGCAUUGGAUACUGCCUUGCUUGAGUACUGGAGAGGGAACUGGAAUUUACGGUGUAGCAGUGAAAUGCGUAGAGAUCGUAAGGAAGGCCAGUGGCGAAGGCGAGUUCCUGGACAGUUACUGACGCUGAGGCACGAAGGCCAGGGGAGCAAACGGG